GAUGAACGCUGGCGGCGUGCCUAAUACAUGCAAGUCGAGCGAACAGACGAGGAGCUUGCUCCUCUGACGUUAGCGGCGGACGGGUGAGUAACACGUGGAUAACCUACCUAUAAGACUGGGAUAACUUCGGGAAACCGGAGCUAAUACCGUAUAACAUGUUGAACCGCAUGGUUCAACAGUGAAAGACGGUCUUGCUGUCACUUAUAGAUGGAUCCGCGCCGCAUUAGCUAGUUGGUAAGGUAACGGCUUACCAAGGCAACGAUGCGUAGCCGACCUGAGAGGGUGAUCGGCCACACUGGAACGGAGACACGGACCAGAAUCCUACGGGAGGCAGCAGAAGGGAAUAUUACGCAAUGGGCGAAAGCAUGACGGAGCAACGCCGCGUGAGUGAAGAAGGUCUUCGGAUCGUAAAACUCUGUUAUUAGGGAAGAACAAAUGUGUAAGUAAAUAUGCACGUCUUGACGGUACCUAAUCAGAAAGCAACGGCUAACUACGUG
This 497-nucleotide ribosomal RNA is filed under the name uncultured bacterium. RNAcentral describes it as "partial 16S ribosomal RNA". It matches the Rfam family "Bacterial small subunit ribosomal RNA", at positions 28 to 507 of the family's 1533-position model. The record is from RNAcentral.